RNAcentral lists this ribosomal RNA (497 nucleotides) under uncultured bacterium. Its description in RNAcentral is "partial 16S ribosomal RNA". It matches the Rfam family "Bacterial small subunit ribosomal RNA", at positions 28 to 507 of the family's 1533-position model. The record is from RNAcentral.
GAUGAACGCUGGCGGCGUGCCUAAUACAUGCAAGUCGAGCGAACGGACGAGAAGCUUUCUUUUCUGAUGUUAGCGGCGGACGGGUGAGUAACACGUGGAUAACCUACCUAUAAGACUGGGAUAACUUCGGGAAACCGGAGCUAAUACCGGAUAAUAUUUUAAACCGCAUGGUUCAAAAGUGAAAGACGGUCUUGCUGUCACUUAUAGAUGGAUCCGCGCUGCAUUAGCUAGUUGGUAAGGUAACGGCUUACCAAGGCAACGAUGCAUAGCCGACCUGAGAGGGUGAUCGGCCACACUGGAACUGAGACACGGUCCAGACUCCUACGGGAGGCAGCAGUAGGGAAUCUUCCGCAAUGGGCGAAAGCCUGACGGAGCCACGCCGCGUGAGUGAUGAAGGUCUUCGGAUCGUAAAACUCUGUUAUUAGGGAAGAACAUAUGUGUAAGUAACUGUGCACAUCUUGACGGUACCUAAUCAGAAAGCCACGGCUAACUACGUG